UUUCCGUAGGUGAACCUGCGGAAGGAUCAUUACUGAGUGAGGGCCCCUCGGGGUCCAACCUCCCACCCGUGUUUAACGAACCUUGUUGCUUCGGCGGGCCCGCCUCACGGCCGCCGGGGGGCAUCUGCCCCCGGGCCCGCGCCCGCCGAAGCCACCUGUGAACGCUGUCUGAAGUAUGCAGUCAGAGACAAUUAUUAAAUUAAUUAAAACUUUCAACAACGGAUCUCUUGGUUCCG
Molecule: unclassified non-coding RNA, 236 nt
Filed under: plant metagenome
Description: partial contains small subunit ribosomal RNA, internal transcribed spacer 1, and 5.8S ribosomal RNA
Source: RNAcentral